This 192-nucleotide ribosomal RNA is filed under the name Triticum aestivum (bread wheat). RNAcentral's name for it is "partial small subunit ribosomal RNA". The record is from RNAcentral. Lineage: Eukaryota; Viridiplantae; Streptophyta; Magnoliopsida; Poales; Poaceae.
AUGAUGUGGGUUAUUCAGGUUAUUAUGAGAAAUUAUUUGACUGGUCAUUGUAAGCUGUCAAAUCCAGUGGGUAAACAGAUGGCUAGGCUUCCUUUAGAUCCAAUGUACUCCAAGGCAUUGAUAGUGUCUACCAAAUUCAAGUGUUUGGACGGAAUGUUGAUUGAUGUUAGUAGCUACACUUGUCUGCAAUGA